UACGGAGGGUGCAAGCGUUGCUCGGAAUUAUUGGGCGUAAAGGGUAGGUAGGUGGUCUCAUUUGUCUGGGGUGAAAGCCUUGAGCUUAACUCAAGAAGUGCCUCAGAAACGGUGAGCCUAGAGUCCUGGAGAGGGUCGUGGAAUUCCCGGUGUAGCGGUGAAAUGCGCAGAUAUCAGGAAGAACACCCGUGGCGAAAGCGGCUCUCUGGAACGGUACUGACGCUGAGACGCGAAAGCGUGGGGAGCGAACAGG
This 253-nucleotide ribosomal RNA is filed under the name uncultured bacterium. RNAcentral's name for it is "partial 16S ribosomal RNA". It matches the Rfam family "Bacterial small subunit ribosomal RNA", at positions 524 to 776 of the family's 1533-position model. The record is from RNAcentral.